GACGAACGCUGGCGGCGUGCUUAACACAUGCAAGUCGAACGGAAAGGCCCUGCUUUUGUGGGGUGCUCGAGUGGCGAACGGGUGAGUAACACGUGAGUAACCUGCCCUUGACUUUGGGAUAACUUCAGGAAACUGGGGCUAAUACCGGAUAGGAGCUCCUGCUGCAUGGUGGGGGUUGGAAAGUUUCGGCGGUUGGGGAUGGACUCGCGGCUUAUCAGCUUGUUGGUGGGGUAGUGGCUUACCAAGGCUUUGACGGGUAGCCGGCCUGAGAGGGUGACCGGCCACAUUGGGACUGAGAUACGGCCCAGACUCCUACGGGAGGCAGCAGUGGGGAAUAUUGCACAAUGGGCGGAAGCCUGAUGCAGCAACGCCGCGUGCGGGAUGACGGCCUUCGGGUUGUAAACCGCUUUCGCCUGUGACGAAGCGUGAGUGACGGUAAUGGGUAAAGAAGCACCGGCUAACUACGUGCCAGCAGCCGCGGUGAUACGUAGGGUGCGAGCGUUGUCCGGAUUUAUUGGGCGUAAAGGGCUCGUAGGUGGUUGAUCGCGUCGGAAGUGUAAUCUUGGGGCUUAACCCUGAGCGUGCUUUCGAUGCGGGUUGACUUGAGGAAUUUAGGGGAGAAUGGAAUUCCUGGUGGAGCGGUGGAAUGCGCAGAUAUCAGGAGGAACACCAGUGGCGAAGGCGGUUCUCUGGGCCUUUCCUGACGCUGAGGAGCGAAAGCGUGGGGAGCGAACAGGCUUAGAUACCCUGGUAGUCCACGCUGUAAACGGUGGGUACUAGGUGUGGGGUCCAUUCCACGGGUUCCGUGCCGUAGCUAACGCUUUAAGUACCCCGCCUGGGGAGUACGGCCGCAAGGCUAAAACUCAAAGGAAUUGACGGGGCCCCGCACAAGCGGCGGAGCAUGCGGAUUAAUUCGAUGCAACGCGUAGAACCUUACCUGGGUUUGACAUGGAUCGGGAGUGCUCAGAGAUGGGUGUGCCUCUUUUGGGGUCGGUUCACAGGUGGUGCAUGGCUGUCGUCAGCUCGUGUCGUGAGAUGUUGGGUUAAGUCCCGCAACGAGCGCAACCCUUGUUCACUGUUGCCAGCACGUUAUGGUGGGGACUCAGUGGAGACCGCCGGGGUCAACUCGGAGGAAGGUGGGGAUGACGUCAAGUCAUCAUGCCCCUUAUGUCCAGGGCUUCACGCAUGCUACAAUGGCUGGUACAGAGAGUGGCGAGCCUGUGAGGGUGAGCGAAUCUCGGAAAGCCGGUCACAGUUCGGAUUGGGGUCUGCAACUCGACCUCAUGAAGUCGGAGUCGCUAGUAAUCGCAGAUCAGCAACGCUGCGGUGAAUACGUUCCCGGG
This 1343-nucleotide ribosomal RNA is filed under the name uncultured bacterium. Its description in RNAcentral is "16S ribosomal RNA". It matches the Rfam family "Bacterial small subunit ribosomal RNA", at positions 28 to 1378 of the family's 1533-position model. The record is from RNAcentral.